AUGAACGCUGGCGGCGUGCCUAAUACAUGCAAGUCGAGCGAACAGACGAGGAGCUUGCUCCUCUGACGUUAGCGGCGGACGGGUGAGUAACACGUGGAUAACCUACCUAUAAGACUGGGAUAACUUCGGGAAACCGGAGCUAAUACCGGAUAAUAUAUUGAACCGCAUGGUUCAAUAGUGAAAGACGGUUUUGCUGUCACUUAUAGAUGGAUCCGCGCCGCAUUAGCUAGUUGGUAAGGUAACGGCUUACCAAGGCAACGAUGCGUAGCCGACCUGAGAGGGUGAUCGGCCACACUGGAACUGAGACACGGUCCAGACUCCUACGGGAGGCAGCAGUAGGGAAUCUUCCGCAAUGGGCGAAAGCCUGACGGAGCAACGCCGCGUGAGUGAUGAAGGUCUUCGGAUCGUAAAACUCUUUUAUUAGGGAAGAACAAAUGUGUAAGUAACUAUGCACGUCUUGACGGUACCUAAUCAGAAAGCCACGGCUAACUACGU
Molecule: ribosomal RNA, 495 nt
Filed under: uncultured bacterium
Lineage: Bacteria
Description: partial 16S ribosomal RNA
Rfam family: Bacterial small subunit ribosomal RNA
Source: RNAcentral